This 254-nucleotide ribosomal RNA is filed under the name uncultured bacterium. RNAcentral describes it as "partial 16S ribosomal RNA". It matches the Rfam family "Bacterial small subunit ribosomal RNA", at positions 524 to 776 of the family's 1533-position model. The record is from RNAcentral.
UACGGGGGGGGGCAAGCGUUGUUCGGACUUACUGGGCGUAAAGGGCGCGUAGGCGGCCUGUUAAGUCGAACGUGAAAUCCCCGGGCUCAACCCGGGAACUGCGUCCGAUACUGGCAGGCUUGAAUCCGGGAGAGGGAUGUGGAAUUCCAGGUGUAGCGGUGAAAUGCGUAGAUAUCGUAAGGAAGACCAGUGGCGAAGGCGAGUCUCUGGACAGUUACUGACGCUGAGGCACGAAGGCCAGGGGAGCAAACGGG